This 199-nucleotide long non-coding RNA is filed under the name Lathyrus oleraceus (garden pea). RNAcentral's name for it is "Pisum sativum (pea) long non-coding RNA (PSAT_LNC019940)". Lineage: Eukaryota; Viridiplantae; Streptophyta; Magnoliopsida; Fabales; Fabaceae. The record is from RNAcentral.
UGGCUGGUGGUGGACCAGUCCGGUGAGGUCCAUCGGAGAAGAAGACCGGAGCUAGGGCUCCGGUGCUGUGUUGGCGCCCUUCCAGCCAUCUGAUGAUGUUGAAAUGUUUUAAUCAUGGCCAUUGGUAUUAAUUACCAUUGUUGCAAUGCGUUGACUAGGGAGCACCAUGGAUGACACGCGUGUGGCCAUCAGAUCUGCC